UGCCAGCCGCCGCGGUAAUACGGAUGGUGCGAGCGUUAAUCGGAAUUACUGGGCGUAAAGCGCGCGUAGGCGGUUUUGUAAGUCAGAUGUGAAAGCCCAGGGCUCAACCUUGGAACUGCAUUUGAUACUGCAUGACUAGAGUGCGAUAGAGGGGGGUAGAAUUUCAGGUGCAGCGGUGAAAUGCGUAGAGAUCCGAAGGAAUACCAGUGGCGAAGACGGCCCCCUGGAUUGACACUGACGCUGAGGUGCGAAAGCGUGGGGAGCAAACAGGAUUAGAUA
This 279-nucleotide ribosomal RNA is filed under the name uncultured bacterium. Its description in RNAcentral is "partial 16S ribosomal RNA". It matches the Rfam family "Bacterial small subunit ribosomal RNA", at positions 506 to 784 of the family's 1533-position model. The record is from RNAcentral.